GACGAACGCUGGCGGCGUGCCUAAUACAUGCAAGUAGAACGCACAGUUUAUACCGUAGCUUGCUACACCAUAGACUGUGAGUUGCGAACGGGUGAGUAACGCGUAGGUAACCUGCCUGGUAGCGGGGGAUAACUAUUGGAAACGAUAGCUAAUACCGCAUAAUAUUAAUUAUUGCAUGAUAAUUAAUUGAAAGGUGCAAUUGCACCACUACCAGAUGGACCUGCGUUGUAUUAGCUAGUAGGUGAGGUAACGGCUCACCUAGGCGACGAUACAUAGCCGACCUGAGAGGGUGAUCGGCCACACUGGGACUGAGACACGGCCCAGACUCCUACGGGAGGCAGCAGUAGGGAAUCUUCGGCAAUGGACGAAAGUCUGACCGAGCAACGCCGCGUGAGUGAAGAAGGUUUUCGGAUCGUAAAGCUCUGUUGUCAGAGAAGAACGGGUGUGAGAGUGGAAAGUUCACACUGUGACGGUAUCUUACCAGAAAGGGACGGCUAACUACGUG
Molecule: ribosomal RNA, 505 nt
Filed under: uncultured bacterium
Lineage: Bacteria
Description: partial 16S ribosomal RNA
Rfam family: Bacterial small subunit ribosomal RNA
Source: RNAcentral